AUGUGGGCAAUACUUUCUUGUAAGCAUGUGAUAUAUAAUUAAUUUGCUAAAGAGGAUAAAAAAAAUAAGAAGACAUUCACUGAAUUUGUGGAUUGAACAUACUAACUGAGAGGCCUGUGUUCUGUAACUGAGCUAACCAAGAACAGUUUUAUAUAUAUAUAUAUAUGUGUGUGUAUAUAUAUAUAUAAAAAUACAUAAAGUGCCACUGGCCCGGAAAAAUAUUUACAAGAAAUCUUUCAUAAUCACUCUGAACAACAAAAAAUAGACAUUGUACAGUUGCUGGUUGACAAUCAUUUUAUACCUUUCUCAUAUGAUAACGGAGUAAAAAAUUGAUGUUUGAAUGAAUGGCAUCUUCUGGCUUCCGUAGGAAACUGCCCCCACCCUCGAAGCUUUUAAAACUGGCCUGAAAACUACAGGCGUACCUCUCCAACAGGUCUUUGUUCACGCCCACACACACUCUCAUCAGGUGAAACAAGUGGAAACACCUGCGUGGACUUUGAGGAAACGUGCUCUGACAGGAAGAAGACGAGAAAAGUUCUUUUAAAACAAAACAUGUGACUUUGUUAUCAGUGUUGGACACAAGCAGAGUAUUGCAGCGGCCGCUCUGCUCCGACGUCGUCACCAGAUUAUUAAAAACACUUCAGGAUGUCCGUGCUGGAGUUCUCAUCUGGAAACAGGCCUGACAAAAACAGAUGUUUGCUGCUCCACAAACCUCCACGUCUGUUGCUGAUCCACGUCCGACCGCGAAGCAGCAGCUUUAUCAGGAACAUGAGUCUGAGUGGAGGUUCAACUUUGACUUCGGACACAGCAUUUAACAAAAUAAACCGUAUCACAUGGUGACAA
Molecule: long non-coding RNA, 843 nt
Organism: Micropterus salmoides (largemouth bass)
Lineage: Eukaryota; Metazoa; Chordata; Actinopteri; Centrarchiformes; Centrarchidae
Exons: 3
Source: RefSeq, a predicted model, not a curated record